Elaeis guineensis (African oil palm) is the source of this 469-nucleotide non-coding RNA. NCBI's taxonomy places the organism in Eukaryota, Viridiplantae, Streptophyta, Magnoliopsida, Arecales, Arecaceae. The record is from RefSeq and is a predicted model, not a curated record.
GAGAGAGAGAGAGAGAGAGAGAGAGAGAAAGAGAGGCGGUUAAGUGCAGGUGGUUUGGGACGUGCGGAUUUUGAGGGCAUAUAUGCUGCAAAACAAGUGUCACAAAUUAUUUGUAUGUUAAAGUACAUGACUAUAAGAGUACAUGAUGCAGCAUCUUGACAAUUUGCAUAUGUUAAGCAAAAAGAAAGGUGUACUUUUCCUACAGUAAUUGGUGAAUGCCAUACAUUUGCAAAAAGGAUGACUUUUUUACCCAAGAAGAAAUGGCAAGACUUAUAUAAACAUAGUAAUUUGUACAUCUGUAUACCAUCAAAGAAGUUCAUUUGUCAGUCGGUGAUGUUGCAUAAGAAAGGAGCAUACCUUGACUGAAGUUGCAUUUAAAACCUGAUGAUGCUCCUCCUUUGUCCUGUUGUAGCGGUCUAUUAUUGAUUUCAUGCUGAUAUGAUGAGGGACUUUAUGUUAGUUUUUAUCA